CUCAUUUUCUGUAACCUCAUAUUUCACAUUGUAUCACGUUAGGAUAUUGUGUGGGGAUAUCCCAACAAGUGCCUUUUGGGUUUGCACAUGUCCUUCCCAUCUCUUUUGCCCAAUCUGAGUCCGGUUGUGCCUCUGGGGCUCCUCCCAAUGGUUCAAGGGAUUUUAAACUUGAUCUACAUUUGAAGCUCUCAGCCUAUUUUCCAGAUCCUCUGAUACUCAAACAUUAUUCUUGCUCCCCUCUCAUCACCCAGCCUUCUCCAUCUCCUACACACUCUGAAAUAAUCUGUCAGAAGAUCCUCAUCCUGCCGUGCUGGCUUACUCUGGAUCAAGAGACAAAGACUCCAGCUCUAUCUCUGAUGGACCGAGUAGGAAGAAUCAGCAUGAGUCAACCCACCAGGUUUCCCAGAGCUUAAUCCAGAAGGGACCCAAACACUAGGGAGUGUUUCAGGAGAGGAGGAAGAUCCAGAGCACCACCCUAUGCCAAAGAAAGCAUGAAUGCAGAAUGUGUAACUUCAUGAUGGCUAAACCUUGGAUCCCUGCUUGUCUGAGUCCAUACAGGCUGCAAUAACAAAACACCUUAGACUGGAUAAACUGGAGAUGUCCUCCUGAGCAACCUUGGAAACCACAUAUUGAAGAUGGUCUCUGAAUCACCCCUGGCCACCUGACUGGGAACACCAAAUAGGAUUGCUACAUGAGUGAAAAAUAAACAAUUUCUGGGCUGAGUCACUGAGACUUGUUUAUCUGUUCCAGCUGCUGGAGCUACCUUCACCAAUACAGGGGUAAUCAUAGUACCUUUUACUGGGAGGAUUAAGUGAGAUAAUGCUUACUCAACUGCCAGGUACACGGUAAGCACUCACCAUCAUCAACUUUUACUGUAGCAAGGAAGAGUUUACAGACCUG
This 900-nucleotide long non-coding RNA is filed under the name Homo sapiens (human). Its description in RNAcentral is "HSALNT0150573". The record is from RNAcentral. Lineage: Eukaryota; Metazoa; Chordata; Mammalia; Primates; Hominidae.